CUGUCCAUCUACUCAUAUGAGAUAGCAACAAAAGCUUGAGCAAGGCUGAGGAGCCCAGCACAAACCUAACCAGAGCAGCACCCCACAGGAGCUGAACCAAGUACAAAUAACAAAAUUCAUCACCUACCUCAGACACAGCAAGAAGAUGAACCAAGCACAGGAGCCAGCUGGCUAGGAGAUGAAAUGGCAGGCUAAGCACUGAAGACAGGCACAAGGCACAGCUAGAGACCAAUGCUCCUGCAACACAACUACAAUCACCACACAGACAAUUUGCAUUUUAAAAGACUUCUGCUUUCAUGUGGCUCAGCAUCAAGAUACAAAUUCUCCAUUGAACAAUCUGCAACCUAAUCUAGCAGUGACUCCUCAAGCAAGACUCCUGCCAAAUCCAACAGUUCUGCAGGAACAGGGAUUGCCACAGCUGGCCCACCAUCACUAUCCUGCUACCUGAAAGACAAGUGCCAGCCCAGGUGACAAACUGCCCAAAAGGCUCUUUUGACAGCAGCAGUGCUUGGGCCUCUGGCAGCUGUCAGCCCCAGCAGCAGCAACACAGAGCUCAGGGAAUGUUCUGUACCAGAUGCAGCCUGGCCUGCGAGCAGUUGUCUGAGUGGCCAUUUUCCUUGGGACCUGUAGAGAGGCAUUUGCUCACCAGCAGCAGAGGGGACUCAGAAAUGCACCCUUGCCCAGAAUUAUUAAUCUGUACACCACUUGUUUUUGGAGCAGAGUUAUUUCUGUGACCAAAUAAGUUACUAUGGGAUGGAAGCAAUCUUUGCAUUGUAUUUCGUAGGAAUUCUGUACCCUGGUAAUAAAAUCACCUUUGUUCAGUUGGCUCAUCUUUCACCUGUGUUUUUGGUUAUGAAAAAAUAAUUUUUUUCUGGACCAAGAAUUUUGAACUCUACUGGUUUACACUGCAGUAUAGAAAACUUUUUGGAUUGACUCCAAUUUUCAUUCAACUAACUUAUCAUAAAAUCACCCCACUGAUUUUUGACUCUAACUGAAAGUAAUCUUGUUCCAGAAAUUCCAGGAACAAUUUGAGAUCAUUGUCCCAAGAAUAAAUGGCCUGAAAUAGAUAUUGGACACUCCCGAUGAAAGAUAAGUGGAAUGAAACCAACUCUGCCUUCUGCCUGAUCAGCCUUUGCCUGAAAUGCAAAUCUCCUCUGUGUUGGAUGUGGCUAGAAAUUACUGAUAAAUUAGCUACAAAGCAAGUUUUUCUUUCCUUGUUCUUUGGAAUUCACAGGAACACUCCCGUUUAUUUGGAGCCUUCAUUUUACAUG
Molecule: long non-coding RNA, 1271 nt
Filed under: Taeniopygia guttata (zebra finch)
Lineage: Eukaryota; Metazoa; Chordata; Aves; Passeriformes; Estrildidae
Description: lncRNA (ENSTGUG00000026187.1)
Source: RNAcentral